This 1365-nucleotide ribosomal RNA is filed under the name Argynnis anadyomene. RNAcentral's name for it is "16S ribosomal RNA". Lineage: Eukaryota; Metazoa; Arthropoda; Insecta; Lepidoptera; Nymphalidae. The record is from RNAcentral.
GGGGGUAAAUUAAUAAAAUAAAAUUAAUAAAAAAAUUUUUAAUAUUGGGGGAUAUUAAAGUAUUUUUUAAAGAAAAAAUAAAAAAUUUUAUAGUGGAUUAAUAUUGUAAAAGAAAUUUGAAAUAAAAUUGAAAAAAAAAUUAAAAAAAAAGUAAAUUUAAUUUAUUGUAUCUUGUGUAUCAGAGUUUAUUUAAAAAUAUUUAAUAAAUAAUAAAAUCUCGAAUUUAAAAGAGUUAAUUAAUUAUAAAAGUUAAUGUUGAAUAAUUAUUUUGAAUAAUUAAUUAGAAAUGAAAUGUUAAUCGUUUUUAAAUAUAUCUAGUUUUUUUAGAAAAAAAUUUAAUUUUAAAUUUAAAAAAUUUUAUAUUUAAUUAAUUAAAUAUAAAAUUUUAAAAUUUAAUAUUUUAGGGGAUAAGCUUUAAUUUAUAUAUUUAUAAUAAAUAUAAUUUAUUAAUAAAAUUUUUAAAAUUUAUAUUGUUUAAAAAUUAUAAUUUAUUAAAAAAAAUUUUAUAAUAAAUAAAAUUUAAUUAAUUUAUUUAAUUUUUUAUAAAAAAAUAUUUUUUAAUAAGAAAAAUAUAGGAAUAAUGAUAAAAUUAGUAUAUUAAAAAUUUAAAGUAUAAAUUUAAAUUAAAAUUAAUUUAAAGGAAUUCGGCAAAAUUUUAUACUCACUUGUUUAUCAAAAACAUGUCUUUUAGAUAAUAAUUUAAAGUCUAAUCUGCCCACUGAUUAAUAAAAAAUUAAAGGGCUGCAGUAUAUUGACUGUACAAAGGUAGCAUAAUCAUUAGUCUUUUAAUUGAAGACUUGUAUGAAAGAUUUGAUGAAGUAUAAACUGUCUCUAAAUUAUUAAUAAAAAUUAAUUUUUUAGUUAAAAAGCUAAAAUUUAUUUAAAAGACGAGAAGACCCUAUAGAGUUUUAUAAUUUUAAUAAUUAAAAUUAAAUAUUUAAUUAUAAAUUAAAAUUAUUAAAAUUAUUUUAUUGGGGUGAUAGAAAAAUUAAAAAAACUUUUUUUAAUAAAUUUCAUAAAUAAGUGAGUUAUUGAUCCAUUUAUAAUGAUUAAAAGAAAAAAUUACCUUAGGGAUAACAGCGUAAUUUUUUUUUUUAGUACAAAUAAAAAAAAAAGGUUGCGACCUCGAUGUUGGAUUAAGAUAAAAAUUAAAUGCAAAAGUUUAAAAUUUUGAUCUGUUCGAUCAUUAAAAUCUUACAUGAUCUGAGUUCAAACCGGUGUAAGCCAGGUUGGUUUCUAUCUUUAAAAAAUUAAAAUAUUUUAGUACGAAAGGAUCAAGUAUUUUAAAUAAUUUAAAAAUUAAUGAAUAUUAUUAAAAUUAUUUAACUAUUUUGGCAGAAAAAUGUAAUGAUUUUAGAAGUCAUG